AGUGAACGCCGGCGGUAGGCCUAACACAUGCAAGUCGAACGGCAGCACAGUAAGAGCUUGCUCUUACGGGUGGCGAGUGGCGGACGGGUGAGGAAUACAUCGGAAUCUACUUUUUCGUGGGGGAUAACGUAGGGAAACUUACGCUAAUACCGCAUACGACCUACGGGUGAAAGCAGGGGAUCUUCGGACCUUGCGCGAUUGAAUGAGCCGAUGUCGGAUUAGCUAGUUGGCGGGGUAAAGGCCCACCAAGGCGACGAUCCGUAGCUGGUCUGAGAGGAUGAUCAGCCACACUGGAACUGAGACACGGUCCAGACUCCUACGGGAGGCAGCAGUGGGGAAUAUUGGACAAUGGGCGCAAGCCUGAUCCAGCCAUACCGCGUGGGUGAAGAAGGCCUUCGGGUUGUAAAGCCCUUUUGUUGGGAAAGAAAAGCAGCAGGUUAAUACCCCGCUGUUCUGACGGUACCCAAAGAAUAAGCACCGGCUAACGUCGUG
This 492-nucleotide ribosomal RNA is filed under the name uncultured bacterium. Its description in RNAcentral is "partial 16S ribosomal RNA". It matches the Rfam family "Bacterial small subunit ribosomal RNA", at positions 29 to 507 of the family's 1533-position model. The record is from RNAcentral.